AGGAGCAGGAGAGGUUGCAAUCCUGGGAUCUGGAGUAGCUUCCCUUCUAAAAGUCAAGUGAGGUUUUGUAGAAAUACAGUCGUCACAUAAAAGAUUGCAUAUAUCAGUUAAUAAAGGCUCAUAAAAGACUCGUUCUUUUCUUAAAGCAUUGUUCAACUUCCAAAUGCCCAAAGCAGUAGAAGGGAUUUCCCUCCUCUUCCUUAAUAUAUCACUAGAAUUUUCAAGUGCCUUCUUCAUAAACUUAUUA
This 247-nucleotide unclassified non-coding RNA is filed under the name Hevea brasiliensis (rubber tree). Lineage: Eukaryota; Viridiplantae; Streptophyta; Magnoliopsida; Malpighiales; Euphorbiaceae. The record is from RNAcentral.